CGCUGCCUCCCCGGGGACGCCCGGGGAAACGGUCGUUCCUCCGAGCCCCCCCACUGCCAAAUCGUGUCGUGUCUCGUUUUUUACCUUCCGUUUACGCGUUGUGGGGGUUGCUGUGGGGUGUUGGGGGGGGCCACGCGCCUCCCCCCCCUCCCUCCCUCCCUCCCGCGUAUCCCAAAAAAAACCAAAAUUCGGACAACUCUUAGCGGUGGAUCACUCGGCUCGUGCGUCGAUGAAGAACGCAGCUAGCUGCGAGAAUUAAUGUGAAUUGCAGGACACAUUGAUCAUCGACACUUCGAACGCACUUGCGGCCCCGGGUUCCUCCCGGGGCUACGCCUGUCUGAGCGUCGCUUAACGUUCAAUCGCCCGGUUCCCGUUUCCCCCGGUACCCCUUCCGCCUCCCCCCAUCCCCGCCCAAGCCGUUGUCGCUCGCGAGGAGGAUCCGCGGUGGAUCCUGAGGGCGCCCGCGCGUUUGGAGCUGGGGGGGGGGUUCGCGGUCGGGGUUUUCCGGGGUCUCGGGGGCGUGGGGCGCGGCUGGGGGUCAUCGCAGGGUCCCGCCACGCCAGAGGCCAAAGGGUGGCCGGGGCCCUCCGUCCCCUGAAGUGCAGACGGUGGCGAAAAGAUGAAGCGAGAAGGGCCGCCCGUGUGGCGGAGCUCGCCCGCCCUUGGGGACCUCGCGCCCUCUGCGGGCGGCGUCUGGACCCGCCGGGCGCGCGGUGCGGUGUGUCGCGUGGGGUUUUGGGUACGCUGUCCCGGACCACCGGGCGCUUUCCCGCUCCCCUCCUUCCCCCGCCCGCUCGUCGUCGGGCGGGCCCCCUUCCCGUCGGCCGGACGGAGCGCCUGUCGGGGCCCGGCCCCGCGGCGGUUGCCUGUGGGGCCCGGGU
RNAcentral lists this long non-coding RNA (881 nucleotides) under Monodelphis domestica (gray short-tailed opossum). RNAcentral describes it as "lncRNA (ENSMODG00000041478.1)". The stretch from base 195 to 347 matches the Rfam family "5.8S ribosomal RNA". Lineage: Eukaryota; Metazoa; Chordata; Mammalia; Didelphimorphia; Didelphidae. The record is from RNAcentral.